AAGUGUAACAUCAGCGGUCGUGGAGAGUCUCCAUCCAGCUGGAUCUCUGUCACAGGUGAGGAGGUUACCUUUGAUUUCAGGACUUAUUUCAUCCAGAGAUUCACCUGACCAGGUGGAUUCUCUCUACAGGUAAACCUACAACCACAGCCCCGCCCCCAACAUCAACUACUCUCUUUGACCUGACACCCUCUGAAGCCCUUCCUCCUCCAUCGCCCCCUGCCUCAGACCCCCUCCAGCUUGUGUUAAGACUGAUCUACCACCUGGUGGUGUUCUGUCCAUACUUCAUCUCCACUCUCCUCAUGGUGUCUUUAUAUCGCCUCAGGGCCACAGGAAAUGACCUGCCCAUCUCCAUGGUGAUGACCCCGCCCAGUCAGGCUAAGGAGGGAUUGGACGACGACUGUGAUGAUGUCAUCACUGCUGUCACCACAGAGCAUCACUUCUGAGUUGAUCCAGUGUGUUCAGUGUGUUCUGGUUCUUAAUUAAGCUAAAAUGUUUGACUCAUCAGCAAAUAAACCUCAGAUUUCCUUCAUAGAUCACAAACAGCAGAGGACCCAGAACACUUCCCUGUGGAACUCCUCGUGUUCUAGUCUGACUUGUAGAUGAUGUUGAACUCAGCUUUCACUUGGUCCAAAUGAACAUCUAGUAGAGAUGCCACAACCAGUUGCAAGCUGGACAAUGUGGCAAAUGCAUCCAUGGUGGUCCUGGACAUUAGGCUAGCUUGCUCCUAGUUUGCUAAUCAUUGAAAUAUUUUUGUCUUUCAUUUGUAUUGUCAGUUAAAGCCAAUGAUGUUCUCAGGAAGGCCUCUUAUGUAAUUGGAAAUGGGAAAUCCAAAACAAUAUGCCCACAAUUGCAACAUAACCUUAGGAAGUGUCACGGGUUUGGGUUGGUUGGGUGUGUUUUGUUUUGUUUGUUUCUGUGCUCAUUCCCUGCCUUUGUGUUUGUUCUUGUCUGUAGUGUGUGUAUGUGUUACUUUGGUCAUUUGUUUAAUAGUCAGGUUUACUUGUUAUGAGUUCAUCAGUGCUUCUAUUCUUGUUCUACUGUCCCUAUGCUCUUUAUUUCUGUAUUGUAAGCAAGUCACUUACGUUGUCUGUGUUAUGUUUCAUUUUGUGACAUUGUUCCUUAUGUGUUUCAGUUAGCUUUACUUCCUGUUUCAGUUUGUAGUUAGUCUGCCCUAGUGUCUCUUGUUUUGUUUUGCUUCCUGUGGUUGUCCUUAAUUGUCUUAGUGGUCUCACCUGUGUGUAAUUAGUUUCUCCCUCACCUGAGCCUCCAGUGUAGCCUCCUGAGUAGUCUCUUGUUUCCUGGUUGCGGACUACUCUCACAUCUGGAUAUAUGGACAUUCUUGUUUCACCUGCGCUGUAAGUUUUCACCAUUGCUGCAAUAAACCUCACUACCUUACCAACUCA
Long non-coding RNA from Micropterus dolomieu (smallmouth bass), 1403 nucleotides. RefSeq lists it as uncharacterized. The record is from RefSeq and is a predicted model, not a curated record. The transcript has 2 exons. Lineage: Eukaryota; Metazoa; Chordata; Actinopteri; Centrarchiformes; Centrarchidae.